This 624-nucleotide long non-coding RNA is filed under the name Papio anubis (olive baboon). RNAcentral's name for it is "lncRNA (ENSPANG00000047413.1)". Lineage: Eukaryota; Metazoa; Chordata; Mammalia; Primates; Cercopithecidae. The record is from RNAcentral.
AUGUUUAGUCAAGAGUUUGAUUUGGAUUGUGGCACAAUGAUGAGUUUCUUAAACGUUGUCAUUAAUCUCUCCACACUUGUUUGUGCUCUUUCUCCCUUCAGGCUCUGGUUUCCCAGGAGCUCAGGGCCCUCCCUGAGCCUGUCCGAUCCCUGCUGCUGUAAGGAAAGGCCCACACAGAAUAAUUCACAAAAGUCCAGCCAUUUAAGACAAGCCUGUUUCCCCUUCGCCUUCCGCCUUCCAUCAUGAUUGUAAGUUUCCUGAGGCCUCCCCAGAAACUGAGCAGAAGCCACUAUACUUCCUAUACAGCCUGCAGAACUGUAAGCCAAUUAAACCUCUUUUCUUUGUAAAUUAGCCAGUCUUAGGCAUUUCUUUAUAGCUGUGUGAGAAAAAACUAAUACAAAACUUAAUCUGCAAAGCAAAAGUAUUAAAUGGAUGAAUACAACCACACAACAUUCAAAGUGCCAUUUAAAACCCAAGUCUGAUUUUGCUACAUCUCUGCUCAAAAUGGCUCCUUAUUUCAUCUGAGUAAAAACCAGAGUCGUCACAGGCCCUACCUGAUCUCCCUGUAACCUCUUUGAUGUCACCUACUUUCCUCUCUGUUCCAGUGGCACUGGCCUCCUUGCU